Suricata suricatta (meerkat) is the source of this 301-nucleotide long non-coding RNA. RefSeq lists it as uncharacterized. NCBI's taxonomy places the organism in Eukaryota, Metazoa, Chordata, Mammalia, Carnivora, Herpestidae. The transcript is spliced from 3 exons. The record is from RefSeq and is a predicted model, not a curated record.
GACUCUGGUUACUGAAGCUUCCAGAAGUGAAGCGGCCAAAUGAUAGGAGCGGCGCCAGUGGUAGCGCAAACUCCCGCGCACCUCGCUGGCAAGCAUUCCUUGAGGACACGCCACUCACCGCAGUGCAGUUUUCAGUGACAGCCGUGGCACGCCUGGCCAGCAGGAACUGCUCUCAGUUGUUUGGCUCCCCAAAAGGAAGACAUGUUUAUAACAUCGGGAUAUCCCUGAAAUAUUGCAUCAAUCUUUUGUUCUGCACUACCUUUGGUACAUUAUCUUUGACAGACAACACUUCAGAGAAAGA